AAAACAUGGCCUUUCGAAUAGAAAAUGUAAGGUCUGACCUGCCCACUGAUUUAUAAUUGAAGGGCCGCGGUAAAUUAACUGUGCUAAGGUAGCAUAAUCAUUUUCCAAUUAAUUGUUGGAUGGAAUGAAUGGUUUGACGAGAAAUUGAAUGUCUUAAUAGUAUUUAAGUGAAUUUUACUUUUCUCGUGAGGAGGCUAGAAUUUUGUUGAGGGACGAGAAGACCCUGUAGAUUUUUAGUAAUGUUGUUUUUUGUGUAUUUUAUAAAUAUACUUUGGUUGGGGCGAUUUUAAAAGAAAAAUAUCUUUUGUUUAAUGAUUUAUCAAUUAUUUUUGUUUUAUGGAUCCAGAAUUUUUGAUUAUAAGAUUAAAAUACCUCAGGGAUAACAGCGUAAUUUUUUUAAGAAGUUCUUAUUUGAAUAAAAGUUUGCGACCUCGAUGUUGA
This 441-nucleotide ribosomal RNA is filed under the name Godzilliognomus frondosus. RNAcentral's name for it is "partial large subunit ribosomal RNA". It matches the Rfam family "Bacterial large subunit ribosomal RNA", at positions 1810 to 2535 of the family's 2925-position model. The record is from RNAcentral. Lineage: Eukaryota; Metazoa; Arthropoda; Remipedia; Nectiopoda; Godzilliidae.